Molecule: RNA transcript, 6511 nt
Organism: Canis lupus familiaris (dog)
Lineage: Eukaryota; Metazoa; Chordata; Mammalia; Carnivora; Canidae
Gene: TUT4
Gene name: terminal uridylyl transferase 4
Exons: 32
Source: RefSeq, a predicted model, not a curated record
CGGCGGACAUGGCGGUGGAGUCCUGAGCUCGUCGUGUCCCGGCCUCCAGCGGCGGCGGCAGUGACGGCGGCGGCGGCGGGAGGCGGCGGGGGGAGCGGGAGCCACUGGGAUGAGGAGGCGCCGCGCGCGCCUGUAGCUCGCGGGCUUCGCAGUUUGUUUGCCUAAUCUGGACUUGAAGCAAUUCAUCUGCUGGAAAUCUGCCAUUUUACAGUGCCACAAUUGGAAAGAAGCAGGUUUUCAAAUAAUGGAAGACUCUAAGGCCUCAAAAAAUGAAAAUCAUGAACCAAAGAAGAAUGCUUGGGCUAUAUCUAAUCAAACUUUGAAAACUAGAAAUGAUAAAUCCAUAAAAGAAAUUGGGACCAGCUCUCCAAAUAAGAAUAGUAGCAAAAAAAAUAAGCAAAAUGAUAUUUGUAUAGAAAAAACAGAAGCUAAAUCAUGUAAAGUAAAUGCUGCCAACGUAGCAAGCCCUAAAGAUUUAGGAUUAGUCCUUCGAGAUCAAAGUCAUUGCAAAACAAAAAAAUCACCUAAUUCACCGGUGAAAGCGGAAAAGAUACCUGUUUCACAGGCAAAAGCAGAAAAAUCACCAAAGUCCCCUAAUUCACCAGUGAAAACAGAAAAGACACCCAGCUCACAGGCAACAGCAACAGAAAAGGCACUUAGUUCACAGAGGAAAACAGAAAAAGUACCCAGUUCUCAGAUGAAAUCAGAAAAGGUCGUUGGUUCACCAGUAGAACCAGAGAAGGUGCCCAGUUUACUGUCGAAGGAGAACAUCAGACGGACAGAAUUACAGCAAAUUGGGAAAAAAAUUCCAAGCUCUUUUACUUCUCUGGACAAAGUGAAUAUUGAUGUUGUAGAGGGAGGAAAAUCUGCUUUAGAAAACUCACCACUAUCUCAGAAGCAACAAGCAUGUGCGGAUAAUACUGGUGAUUCUGAUGAUAGUGCUUCAGGAAUUGAAGACAUAGCAGAUGAUUUGAGUAAAAUGAAGAAUGAUGACUCUAAUAAAGAAAACUCUUCAGAGAUGGACUAUUUAGAAAAUGCUACUGUGAUAGAUGAAUCUGCAUUGACACCUGAGCAGAGGCUAGGCUUGAAACAAGCAGAAGAACGCUUAGAAAGAGAUCACAUCUUUCGACUUGAAAAACGUUCACCAGAAUAUACCAAUUGCCGGUAUCUAUGCAAACUUUGCUUAAUUCACAUUGAAAACAUCCAGGGAGCUCAUAAACAUAUAAAGGAGAAACGACAUAAGAAAAAUAUUUUGGAAAAACAAGAAGAAAGUGAGCUUCGUUCUCUGCCACCUCCUACCCCUGCCCACUUGGCUGCUUUAAGUGUUGCGGUUAUUGAAUUAGCAAAAGAACACGGAAUCACAGAUGAUGACCUCAGAGUCCGUCAGGAAAUUGUGGAGGAAAUGUCAAAGGUUAUAACAACAUUUUUACCAGAGUGUUCACUUAGGUUGUAUGGCUCAUCUCUUACUAAAUUUGCUCUGAAAAAUAGUGAUGUUAAUAUAGAUAUAAAAUUUCCUCCCAGGAUGAAUCAUCCAGAUCUUCUGAUACAAGUGCUUGGGAUUUUAAAAAAAAGUGUAUUAUAUAUAGAUGUGGAAUCUGAUUUUCACGCCAAAGUUCCUGUUGUGGUAUGCAAAGAUCGGAAAAGUGGUUUGCUCUGUAGAGUGAGUGCUGGAAAUGAUAUGGCAUGCCUCACUACUGAUUUACUUGCUGCCCUUGGCAAGAUGGAACCCGUCUUCACUCCCUUGGUGUUAGCCUUUCGCUACUGGGCUAAGUUAUGCUAUAUUGACUCCCAAACUGAUGGUGGAAUCCCUUCUUACUGUUUUGCUUUAAUGGUGUUGUUUUUUCUACAACAAAGAAAACCUCCUCUUCUUCCUUGCUUACUUGGAAGUUGGAUUGAAGGCUUUGACCCAAAAAGAAUGGAUGACUUUCAGCUGAAGGGCAUAGUAGAAGAGAAGUUUGUGAAGUGGGAAUAUAAUUCAAGUAGUGCAACUGAGAAAAACUCAAUUGCUGAGGAAAACAAAGCUAAGGCAGACCAACCAAAAGAUGAUACCAAGAAGACAGAAACAGACAACCAAAGUAAUGCCAUGAAGGAAAAACAUGGCAAAUCUCCUUUAACAUUGGGAACACCAAAUCAGGUAUCCCUGGGACAGUUAUGGUUAGAGCUGCUAAAAUUUUAUACAUUGGAUUUUGCUUUGGAAGAAUAUGUCAUAUGUGUACGGAUACAAGAUAUUUUAACAAGAGAAAACAAAAACUGGCCUAAAAGACGAAUAGCUAUUGAAGAUCCAUUUUCAGUCAAGAGGAAUGUUGCACGGAGUUUAAACAGCCAGCUUGUUUAUGAAUAUGUUGUGGAGAGAUUCAGAGCAGCUUAUCGGUAUUUUGCCUGUCCUCAGAGGAAGGGUGGAAAUAAAUCUGUGGAUUCCAUGAAAAAAGAGAAGGGGAAAAUAAGCAAUAAGAAAUCAGUGAAGUCUGACAAUAUGGCAUCCAAUUGUUGCAUUCUACUUGGAGAAAGCACAGAAAAAAUAAAUACAGGAAGAGGUCAGCCUGAUAAAUAUGAUGAAAUGGAAUGUACAUCACAGAGAUGUAUUACUGAAGAUGACAGUUUGUUGGUAAAUGAACUAGCUUUGGCUGAACUUGGACGGGAGUCUUCCUGUCUUUCUACCAGUAAAGGCAGUGAAUUAGAGCCAAAAUCAAUUAGGAAACAAGAUGAUUUAGCACCUUCAGAAACUUGUUUAAAAAAGGAACUCAGCCAGUGUAAUUGCAUUGAUUAUAAAUCCCCUGACCCAAGUGAAUCUGCUGGUACAGACUGCAGGUCAAAUACAGAAACAGAAAGUUCACAUCAGAUUGUGAGCACUGACACAUCUGCUACCUCUUGCAACUGCAAAGCUACAGAAGAUGCUUCUGACCUUGAUGAUGAUGAUAACCACCCCACCCAGGAAUUAUAUUAUGUGUUUGAUAAGUUUAUUUUAACCUCUGGCAAGCCACCAACGAUAGUAUGCAGCAUCUGCAAAAAAGAUGGCCAUUCAAAAAAUGAUUGUCCAGAGGAUUUCAGGAAAAUUGAUCUAAAACCUCUACCACCAAUGACCAAUCGAUUUCGGGAAAUACUUGAUUUAGUAUGUAAAAGAUGUUUUGAUGAGUUAUCACCACCCUUUUCUGAACAACACAACAGGGAGCAAAUUUUAAUUGGCUUGGAAAAGUUUAUUCAAAAAGAAUAUGAUGAAAAAGCAAGAUUGUGCUUAUUUGGCUCUUCUAAAAAUGGAUUUGGAUUUCGUGAUAGUGAUCUGGAUAUUUGUAUGACCCUGGAAGGCCAUGAAAAUGCAGAGAAAUUAAACUGUAAGGAAAUAAUUGAAAAUUUGGCAAAAAUUCUUAAGAGACAUCCAGGUUUAAGAAACAUUUUGCCUAUAACUACUGCCAAAGUGCCUAUAGUAAAAUUUGAACAUAGACGAAGUGGUUUAGAAGGUGAUAUCAGUUUAUAUAAUACAUUGGCUCAACAUAACACAAGAAUGUUAGCUACUUAUGCAGCUAUUGAUCCUAGAGUACAGUACUUGGGAUAUACUAUGAAAGUGUUUGCAAAGCGAUGUGACAUUGGAGAUGCUUCCAGGGGAAGUUUAUCUUCAUAUGCUUAUAUCCUUAUGGUGCUGUACUUUCUACAGCAAAGGAAACCACCUGUUAUCCCAGUUCUACAAGAGAUCUUUGAUGGAAAACAGAUUCCACAGAGAAUGGUUGAUGGAUGGAAUGCAUUUUUCUUUGAUAAAACAGAAGAACUGAAAAAGCGUUUACCUUCACUUGGAAAGAACACAGAAACCUUAGGAGAGCUUUGGUUGGGACUGCUUCGCUUCUAUACUGAAGAGUUUGAUUUUAAGGAAUAUGUAAUUAGCAUUCGGCAGAAAAAACUGUUGACAACUUUUGAAAAGCAGUGGACCUCCAAAUGCAUUGCAAUUGAAGAUCCUUUUGACUUGAAUCAUAACCUUGGUGCUGGAGUAUCUAGAAAAAUGACCAAUUUUAUCAUGAAGGCAUUUAUCAAUGGAAGGAAACUUUUUGGUACCCCUUUUUAUCCACUCAUUGGCAGAGAAGCUGAAUACUUCUUUGAUUCCCGAGUGCUAACAGAUGGAGAACUGGCUCCCAAUGAUCGAUGUUGUCGUGUGUGUGGAAAAAUAGGCCACUACAUGAAAGACUGCCCUAAAAGGAGAAGCAGUUUACUGUUUAGACUAAAGAAGAAAGACAGUGAAGAAGAGAAGGAUGGAAAUGAAGAGGAGAAGGAUUCACGAGACCUUGUUGACCCCCGAGACCUCCAUGACAGUCGAGAGUUUAGAGACCCCAGAGACCUCAGAUGCUUUAUAUGUGGAGAUGCAGGACAUGUACGAAGAGAGUGCCCAGAGGUCAAGCUGGCCCGUCAGAGGAACAGCAGUGUGGCAGCAGCCCAGCUGGUCCGCAACCUUGUAAAUGCCCAACAAGUGGCUGGUUCUGCUCAGCAACAAGGUGAUCAGUCCAUAAGGACUAGACAGUCCUCAGAAUGUUCUGAUUCACCAUCUUAUUCUCCUCAGCCCCAGCCAUUUCCACAGAACUCUUCCCAAUCAGCUGCCAUUACCCAGUCUCCAUCCCAGCCAGGAUCCCAACCCAAGCUUGGCCCACCUCAGCAGGGAACCCAGACCCCCCAUCAGGUCCAGAUGCCUAUGUAUAACUUUCCCCAGUCACCACCAGCUCAGUAUUCUCCCAUGCACAAUAUGGGAUUGUUGCCAAUGCACCCUCUCCAGAUCCCUGCCCCAUCCUGGCCUAUCCACGGCCCAGUGAUCCACUCUGCACCAGGCAGUGCCCCCAGCAAUAUUACCCUGAACGAUCCCAGCAUCAUCUUUGCACAGCCUGCUGCCAGACCUGUGGCGAUCCCUAACUCCUCUCAUGAUGGACACUGGCCUCGUACUGUGGCUCCAAAUUCCCUGGUGAACAAUGGUACAGUGGGGAAUUCGGAGCCAGGCUUUCCAGGACUAAAUCCUCCAAUUCCUUGGGAACAUGCACCACGUCCCCAUUUCCCUCUUGUCCCAGCUUCGUGGCCUUAUGGUUUGCAUCAAAACUUCAUGCAUCAGGGAAAUGCCAGAUUUCAGCCCAACAAACCGUUCUAUACUCAAGCUGGUCUACCGAUGCACAGCAACCAGCCAAUCCUGCUGUCUCAAGGGUAUCCGUACCUCAAUGUCAGUUACAUUCAGCAGAAAAAGUGACAUUUAAUGGAAAACAAAACAAAUCAGAUAUGCAUUACUUAAAUAGGAGACUACCUGGGCUUUUGGCAUAUUUUCCAGCUUGCAAGAUGCUUGAAAUCUAUUGCAGGAGGUUGAGGGCUUUCCUGCCAAAUUUGCAGCCCUGAAAAGAAUCGUUGAGGUGGGCAAGAUACCCGUUCUACAGCAGAAGAAGGCAUACAUCGUUCACCGGCAAAGCAGAGCUACUAAAAUCAGGAGCCAGAAUUCGAAGACUGCAAGGCUUGGAAGCCUUCUCGGAAGAACUAAGGUUUCUAUUAGGACCCGAACGUGGAAAUAACUGCACAUCGUGCAGAUUUAUUUUUUUUAUUUAUUUAUUUUUAUCGUGCAGAUUUAGAGAACGAAAGACCAGGAACUGGGCUUCAGGUAUGUUAAGGUUCCUUUAAGGACUUCAGAGUCUCCGAGUUUAAGAGGGUUUGAGAACUCGGGAGAUUAUCGUUAAAUAUGAAUAGACGCAGAGAACCCAACAGACACCCUCAGAAUCAGGCCGCAGCAGACUCACACGUGUCCCCAAAGCCCAACCAACAUCGAUCCAGGCACACAGCAGGUGCUAGAUUUUUCUGUGUGACUGACAGACUCCGCUCCAGUCUCCCGCCGGGGCCGGUACCCCGCGCCCCGUCCGCGGAACGGGGCCACCAGGGUGGAGGAGGGUCCGCGCGCGCCCGCUCACCCGUCAGCCCGAAGCACUCCUCUUUCCAGUACUUGGACUCGUAGAUUCGCGUCCGAAUGAUCUUCUCCACCAGAUACUGAGGAUUGGUGCCGUGGAUGCUGUGCGCAUCCUUCACCGUACGGUUCGCCAUCUUAGGACGCCUUCAGUUCUACUUCCGUCGGGUCCUUUAAUGCGUCACAUCCAGGUUAAGGCGAACCGGAGAGAGACCAAGAAAGGCGGAGGGAGCCUAAGCAACUCAGACCACCAUCUGGAAGCGGAAAUGCUUCGAAGGAAAGAACUUCCUUCCGCCAGCAGCGUCGCCCACCGAAUCAAUGAUGGCCGCGGCACGUUGGCGGACGUACGGCGCGCGCCUCGCGUAGGUGGGCGGGGCUAGAGGGCUGGCUGGUGACGCAACGUGGGGCAGCCUGGGGGCGGGGCCAUGGCUUUUGGCGCGAAAUUUUCUUUUCUCCACCUUGCCUAGCGAGGUUCAUUUUCAACCUGCUUGGGCUCCGGUGCGGCGCGUGGCUUUGAGAGCAGUCCAGCUGGCGCAGGCUGGAGUCGCUGCGGCCCGACGAACUCCCGGAGCGGAGACGGUGGGAGCGGAGGGCUUCGGUGCCCGG